UGGCGGGAUGGAGCAGUCUGGAAGCUCAUCUGGCCCAUAACCAGAAGGCCGCAGGUUCAAAUCCUGCUCCCGCAA
This 75-nucleotide transfer RNA is filed under the name bacterium. Its description in RNAcentral is "tRNA-Met". It matches the Rfam family "tRNA". Rfam says of the family: Transfer RNA (tRNA) molecules are approximately 80 nucleotides in length. Their secondary structure includes four short double-helical elements and three loops (D, anti-codon, and T loops). The record is from RNAcentral.